RNAcentral lists this ribosomal RNA (253 nucleotides) under uncultured bacterium. RNAcentral's name for it is "partial 16S ribosomal RNA". It matches the Rfam family "Bacterial small subunit ribosomal RNA", at positions 524 to 776 of the family's 1533-position model. The record is from RNAcentral.
UACGUAGGGGGCAAGCGUUGUCCGGAAUCAUUGGGCGUAAAGAGCGUGUAGGCGGCCAGAAAAGUCCGCUGUGAAAACUCGAGGCUCAACUUCGAGCUGUCGGUGGAAACUUUCUGGCUAGAGUCCGGAAGAGGAGAAUGGAAUUCCUGGUGUAGCGGUGAAAUGCGCAGAUAUCAGGAAGAACACCCGUGGCGAAGGCGGUUCUCUGGGACGGUACUGACACUGAGGCGCGAAAGCGUGGGGAGCGAACAGG